Molecule: unclassified non-coding RNA, 313 nt
Filed under: Hevea brasiliensis (rubber tree)
Lineage: Eukaryota; Viridiplantae; Streptophyta; Magnoliopsida; Malpighiales; Euphorbiaceae
Source: RNAcentral
GUUCAAAACCAUAGAAAUAGAGUAUAUGGUAUCUAUCUAUCAAAUCUCCUCGGGGAAAAACAUCAUCCAGUCAUGACAGCAAAUAAAUGCUUAGAAAGGAUUACAAUGUACAACUCAACAUAAUACACCAACAGAAGAAAAUGCAUUCAGGUUCAGUAUCUAUCAUUCAUCAGUCUUCACCGACACCAGGCUUGUGUAGAUGCACUGUUACUCCUCGUCACUUUCAUUGCUGAAGACAGAUGCAACAGUUACUACACGCACUGUUACUCCUCGUCACUUUCAUUGCUGAAGACAGAUGCAACAGUUACUACAC